Unclassified non-coding RNA from Nomascus leucogenys (northern white-cheeked gibbon), 113 nucleotides. It matches the Rfam family "Y RNA". Rfam says of the family: Y RNAs are components of the Ro ribonucleoprotein particle (Ro RNP), in association with Ro60 and La proteins. The Y RNAs and Ro60 and La proteins are well conserved, but the function of the Ro RNP is not known. Lineage: Eukaryota; Metazoa; Chordata; Mammalia; Primates; Hylobatidae. The record is from Ensembl.
GGCUGGUCCGAAGGUAGUGAGUUAUCUCAACUGAUUGUUCACAGUCAGUUACAGAUCGAACUCCUUGUUCUACCCUUUCCCCCCUUCUCACUACUGCACUUUACUAGUCUUUU